Molecule: long non-coding RNA, 528 nt
Organism: Megalobrama amblycephala (Wuchang bream)
Lineage: Eukaryota; Metazoa; Chordata; Actinopteri; Cypriniformes; Xenocyprididae
Exons: 2
Source: RefSeq, a predicted model, not a curated record
UGCAGCAUACAAAGAGAGCAUGCGAGCCACUGGUACAUUUUAUUUUAUAUUAAUACUUUUAUAUUAAAUAAUUGUUUCAGUGUGGUCAGCAGCUGAUUUUUUUGUCAAAUAGGUGGAGGUCCUCCAUGUAAACCUCUGACUGAGAUAGCCGAGAUAGUAGAGGAGAUACUUGGAACGGACAAUCCUUCCAUUUGUGGCAUUCCAGAAUCCCGAGACCCUGCACUACUCAAAUUGAAGGAGUUACAAAGAUGUGUGGAUGAUGCUGGAGCUGGUCCAUCUGAAGCACCUUCUCCUUUAUCUCAGGACAUCUCACUGUGUCCUCCAGAUGAGCCUGCCUCACAAGACACAGGGUUCGCACAGGGACCAGACCCUGAGGAUGACAUUGAGUCUCUUAAAAGAAAAAAGCUCAAAUUAGAAAUUAAGCUGCUGAAAAUUCAAAAUGAAUAUUAUGCAUUAAAACUGAAAAAAAUAAAGAAUACUCAAUGAUUGUACAUAUGCUUUGUGCAAAUAAAACUGUGUGAUGACAAA